Molecule: ribosomal RNA, 253 nt
Filed under: uncultured bacterium
Lineage: Bacteria
Description: partial 16S ribosomal RNA
Rfam family: Bacterial small subunit ribosomal RNA
Source: RNAcentral
UACGUAGGGUCCGAGCGUUGUCCGGAAUUACUGGGCGUAAAGCGUGCGCAGGCGGUUCGUUAUGUCCGAUGUGAAAGCCCCGAGCUCAACUUGGGAAUGGCAUUGGAAACUGGCGGGCUGGAGUGUGGCAGAGGGGGGUGGAAUUCCACGUGUAGCAGUGAAAUGCGUAGAGAUGUGGAGGAACACCGAUGGCGAAGGCAGCCCCCUGGGCCAACACUGACACUCAGGCACGAAAGCGUGGGGAGCAAACAGG